UGCUUAACACAUGCAAGUCGAACGGUAACAGGCCUAGCUUGCUAGGUGCUGACGAGUGGCGGACGGGUGAGAAACGCGUAAGAAUCUGCCUAUAAGUGGGGGACAACCUUGGGAAACUAAGGCUAAUACCGCAUACGCCCGAGAGGGGAAAGGCUUCGGCCGCUUAUAGAUGAGCUUGCGUCAGAUUAGCUAGUUGGUGGGGUAAGGGCCUACCAAGGCGAAGAUCUGUAGCUGUUCUGAGAGGAAGAUCAGCCACACUGGGACUGAGACACGGCCCAGACUCCUACGGGAGGCAGCAGUGGGGAAUAUUGGACAAUGGGCGUUUCCUGAUCCAGCAAUGCCGCGUGUGUGAAGAAGGAGUUCUGUUUAAUGCAC
This 375-nucleotide ribosomal RNA is filed under the name uncultured organism. Its description in RNAcentral is "bacterial SSU rRNA". It matches the Rfam family "Bacterial small subunit ribosomal RNA", at positions 45 to 433 of the family's 1533-position model. The record is from RNAcentral.